UACUAGCUCGAUACUGACGCUCAGUCACGAAAGCGUGGGGAGCAAAUAGGAUUAGAUACCCUAGUAGUCCACGCCGUAAACGAUGUCGACUAAGUAUUGCUGUGAGGCAGUGCUGAAGCUAACGCAUUAAGUCGACCGCCUGGGGAGUACGGUCGCAAGACUGAAACUUAAAGGAAUUGACGGGGACCCGCACAAGCAGUGGAGCAUGUGGAUUAAUUCGAUGCUACGCGAAGAACCUUACCAGGACUUGACAUGGAUUCAAAUGUUCUAGAGAUAGAAAGAUAGCUAUGGAUCACACAGGUGGUGCAUGGUUGUCGUCAGCUCGUGUCGUGAGAUGUUGGGUUAAGUCCCGCAACGAGCGCAACCCUUGUCCUUAGUUACCAUCAUUUAGUUGGGGACUCUAAGGAGACUGCCGAUGUAAAUCGGAGGAAGGUGGGGAUGACGUCAAAUCAUCAUGCCCCUUACGUCCUGGGCGUCACACGUGCUACAAUGGCCGGUACAGAGAGACGCGAUACCGCGAGGUGGAGCAAAUCCCAUAAAGCCGGUCUCAGUUCAGAUUGAAGUCUGCAACUCGACUUCAUGAAGUCGGAAUGCUAGUAAU
RNAcentral lists this ribosomal RNA (601 nucleotides) under uncultured bacterium. RNAcentral describes it as "bacterial SSU rRNA". It matches the Rfam family "Bacterial small subunit ribosomal RNA", at positions 727 to 1342 of the family's 1533-position model. The record is from RNAcentral.